GGAAAGGUGCCAGAGCGGUCGAAUGGGGCGGUCUCGAAAACCGUUGUACAGGUAACUGUACCGAGGGUUCGAAUCCCUCCCUUUCCGC
This 88-nucleotide transfer RNA is filed under the name Bacteroidetes bacterium ADurb.Bin174. RNAcentral's name for it is "tRNA-Ser". It matches the Rfam family "tRNA". Rfam says of the family: Transfer RNA (tRNA) molecules are approximately 80 nucleotides in length. Their secondary structure includes four short double-helical elements and three loops (D, anti-codon, and T loops). The record is from RNAcentral. Lineage: Bacteria; Pseudomonadati; Bacteroidota.